GAGGGUGUAGUUCAGUGGUAGAGCACAUGCUUAGCACGUACGACGUCCUGGGUUCAAUCCCAGUACCUCCA
This 71-nucleotide transfer RNA is filed under the name Camelus dromedarius (Arabian camel). It matches the Rfam family "tRNA". From Rfam's summary of the family: Transfer RNA (tRNA) molecules are approximately 80 nucleotides in length. RNAcentral also lists the same sequence under 1 other name. The record is from Rfam by way of RNAcentral. Lineage: Eukaryota; Metazoa; Chordata; Mammalia; Artiodactyla; Camelidae.